Molecule: long non-coding RNA, 221 nt
Filed under: Linum usitatissimum (flax)
Lineage: Eukaryota; Viridiplantae; Streptophyta; Magnoliopsida; Malpighiales; Linaceae
Description: long non-coding RNA (LUSI_LNC005734)
Source: RNAcentral
CCAAAUUAAUUAAGAUGUGAUAUGUUAAAAUAAUUAAAAUUUUACAAACCACAAAUUCUACCUACUACUUAUAUCAUGGCUAUUAUAAAUAGCCUCAUUUGUAACAAAGUGGAGUAUGAGUUGAAGAAAUAAGAAAGAAAUAGAGAGGCAUUUGUGAGUGGUGAGAGUAAAGGUCCAAGUGACCAAAUUGUAAUAUCUACAAAUUUGAGUGAUCAGUUGAG